This is a long non-coding RNA of Thunnus maccoyii (southern bluefin tuna), 1370 nucleotides long. RefSeq lists it as uncharacterized. The record is from RefSeq and is a predicted model, not a curated record. The transcript has 2 exons. NCBI's taxonomy places the organism in Eukaryota, Metazoa, Chordata, Actinopteri, Scombriformes, Scombridae.
CAAACCUGGAAACAAAAAAAAGCAAAGAAUGAGAACAAACAAAGCCAAAGAAAUAAGGUGUGAAUGACGUGCAGAUGGUUACACAGAAAACACAAGACAAGCAGGAGACACAUAGGCAUCCUCCAUGUUUUAUCUCCACAUAGCACUGCAGUCCAAACUGGUGUCUCCCAGGGACCCUGUCUCCCUUUUUCUUCUGAUUGGUAAUGAGGCACAGCUGCCUUAUAGUGGGCCCAGCAGGCAGGGCCUUGAUUGCUGCCGCUUACUUGAGCAGGCAAAAUGUGGCAACGAUGACUGGAUUGCAAUGUGAGUGCAAGAACGGAGGACUUUUGGUAAUGAAGAGAUCCCAAUCUUGGUUAUUAUGAUUCAGGACUGUAUUCUCAGCUCCACUAAAUACGGUUCACAAGUAUUUCUGUCCUGCUUAUUAUGUUUUCACUGGCAGUGAAUGUGGUAGGCUUUUUUGUACAGGCUGUUCUUUCUGGAUAAUGGUUUCAGGGUGAAUAUAGAAAGUUGCACAGAUGCAGUGCUGAAAGUGGACUGGAACAUUUGCAUGUUGCAUUUGCACUUUUUUCAUACAAGAACAUGAAACUAUGAAUCACAAUUUUGCUGACAGUGAUUCUUGUGGAUUGUCCACAUACCAUUAUCUCUGGUUGAUAUAAAAUUUGCCAUCAUAUCCACUUAAUUUAUCUUUGUCCACAACUGAUGAAUUUGAAAGUGAUCGGAGUCUUGGUGUGUAUCAGCAGGAGCUGACUCAGUUGCAAAUCUGCCAGUCUUACUUUAUUCCUUCCUGCUGGCAUGACAAAGUUAUUACUUCUUACCAUCCUGCAGUUUGUCAGUUCGAGUCAACAUGGCUGAGAUCACAAGAGGCUAACAGAAAACAAUGACCACAAGUGAUGCUGUUGGGAUGAAGUGAAUGGAGGAUGAAUGUGAUUGUUUUUGUUUAUUUGUUUUCUGCGUGGCCCCUCCUCCUCACAGCUGUCAGCUUGACUGUCUGGGGGUGGCAGUUUACCUCAGUAUAUUUGGAUUCUCAGGCUGUUGUUGUUUGGAUAUGAAUCAUGAAUCCUUUUCUCAUUCCCUUCAGGAGAUGCUGGGUGCCAGUUGCUAUGGCUACAGUACAUCGUGGCACAGAGAGACACCUUGCAAGAUAAAUUUGACCACACCAGCUUUAGGGGCUCCAUGCUGUUGAAGGCCUGUGGGUCCAACAUCUGCUCACUGCUGGUGGAAGACUUGAAGCCCACUCUAGCACACUUAUUACAUCUUCCUUUCCUCUUUCCUUUAAUACCAGCUCUCUUCUUCCUCGCAGUGUCCCUCUUCUUGUCCUUAUUUCCUCUUCCCCCAUGUUCCCCCAUGAGUUCAUAAACUGUACAGAAGCA